GUCCACGCCGUAAACGAUGUCUACUAGCUGUUCGUGGUCUUGUACCGUGAGUAGCGCAGCUAACGCAUUAAGUAGACCGCCUGGGGAGUACGGUCGCAAGAUUAAAACUCAAAUGAAUUGACGGGGGCCCGCACAAGCGGUGGAGCAUGUGGUUUAAUUCGACGCAACGCGAAGAACCUUACCUACUCUUGACAUCUACAGAAGACUGCAGAGAUGCGGUUGUGCCUUCGGGAACUGUAAGACAGGUGCUGCAUUGCUGUCGU
This 263-nucleotide ribosomal RNA is filed under the name uncultured bacterium. Its description in RNAcentral is "partial 16S ribosomal RNA". It matches the Rfam family "Bacterial small subunit ribosomal RNA", at positions 793 to 1055 of the family's 1533-position model. The record is from RNAcentral.